RNAcentral lists this ribosomal RNA (465 nucleotides) under uncultured bacterium. RNAcentral describes it as "partial 16S ribosomal RNA". It matches the Rfam family "Bacterial small subunit ribosomal RNA", at positions 28 to 507 of the family's 1533-position model. The record is from RNAcentral.
GACGAACGCUGGCGGCGUGCUUAACACAUGCAAGUCGAACGGUAAGGCCCCUUCGGGGGUACACGAGUGGCGAACGGGUGAGUAACACGUGAGCAACCUGCCCUUGACUCUGGAAUAACAGUUGGAAACAGCUGCUAAUACUGGAUAUUCAUCGUCUCCUUCCUGGGGGGUGGUGGAAAGCUCCGGCGGUCAGGGAUGGGCUCGCGGCCUAUCAGCUUGUUGGUGAGGUAAUGGCUCACCAAGGCUUCGACGGGUAGCCGGCCUGAGAGGGCGACCGGCCACACUGGGACUGAGAUACGGCCCAGACUCCUACGGGAGGCAGCAGUGGGGAAUAUUGCACAAUGGGUGCAAGCCUGAUGCAGCAACGCCGCGUGCGGGAUGACGGCCUUCGGGUUGUAAACCGCUUUCAGUAGGGACGAAGGGUGACUGACGGUACCUACAGAAGAAGGACCGGCUAACUACGUG